Molecule: long non-coding RNA, 880 nt
Organism: Helianthus annuus (common sunflower)
Lineage: Eukaryota; Viridiplantae; Streptophyta; Magnoliopsida; Asterales; Asteraceae
Exons: 2
Source: RefSeq, a predicted model, not a curated record
AACUUAUCCCUAGUUUACACUACAAUGCGUUGGGGGCUUGUAACUGGGCCUAGCCCAUUAAAGUUAGAGGUGACUCAUGUCCCCUGUAUAAGGAGGUCUUCACCUCAUUUUUAUGGCUCAAGACAUGGAGCCAACCACAUUUUUGUAGUUGUGAAAGGAGAUUCUUCUCCUAGCAGCCAUCUCUACUCCCCACAUUUCUUUCCUUUUCCCUAAUUGCACUGCAGAUCUAGAUUCAUGAGAAAGAACAAUGUGUGAUUCUUGGUAUCUUGUAGAAUACGGUAAGAAUGUGAUUUCGUGUUUCUUCAUUGGCGCCAUCUGUGGGACUGACAACGAUCACAUCUCGUUUUCUCCAUGUCAAUCUUCAGGUCUGUGUUCUUGGAGCUCCACUUUCGAUUUUUGAAUCAAGAAACUCCAUAACUAUGUUCAUCCAAGCUCUAUAGGAUUUACAACUUUCAGAUCUGUGGUCAUAGAACUUUUCAAUUGUUUUUUUGGAGAACUUCCACCGCCAGAUCUGUUGAAUGAGGGGAAUAGUCUGAAAAGGUAACCCUAUACGAUGCGUAUAGAGCUCUAUACGCGUCGUAUAGGUCCAGAAAUUUGUUAUAAAGCCAAGAAUACGGGGACCAUUUGACUUAAAUGAAAAUUCACAAACGAAACAAUCCGAUAAAAGCGUUCGUAUCAUGAUGUCAUUUUAGGACAUUAGUUACGUUUUUGGCAAAUAUUUGAACCAGUCAUUUGCUGCCAGCCAAUGAUUGGCUAGUAAUUAAUGAAUCCUAUACGCGUCGUAUAAGGUAACCAGGAUGUCCAAAUAAAUCAGGGGUGCCAGACCCUUAUUGAAGUGUUGAUUUUAGACUUGGACUUUAAUUCCUUUAUUAAAGACAUA